This 2922-nucleotide ribosomal RNA is filed under the name Staphylococcus aureus. Its description in RNAcentral is "23S ribosomal RNA". It matches the Rfam family "Bacterial large subunit ribosomal RNA". The record is from RNAcentral. Lineage: Bacteria; Bacillati; Bacillota; Bacilli; Caryophanales; Staphylococcaceae.
GAUUAAGUUAUUAAGGGCGCACGGUGGAUGCCUUGGCACUAGAAGCCGAUGAAGGACGUUACUAACGACGAUAUGCUUUGGGGAGCUGUAAGUAAGCUUUGAUCCAGAGAUUUCCGAAUGGGGAAACCCAGCAUGAGUUAUGUCAUGUUAUCGAUAUGUGAAUACAUAGCAUAUCAGAAGGCACACCCGGAGAACUGAAACAUCUUAGUACCCGGAGGAAGAAAAAGAAAAUUCGAUUCCCUUAGUAGCGGCGAGCGAAACGGGAAGAGCCCAAACCAACAAGCUUGCUUGUUGGGGUUGUAGGACACUCUAUACGGAGUUACAAAGGACGACAUUAGACGAAUCAUCUGGAAAGAUGAAUCAAAGAAGGUAAUAAUCCUGUAGUCGAAAAUGUUGUCUCUCUUGAGUGGAUCCUGAGUACGACGGAACACGUGAAAUUCCGUCGGAAUCUGGGAGGACCAUCUCCUAAGGCUAAAUACUCUCUAGUGACCGAUAGUGAACCAGUACCGUGAGGGAAAGGUGAAAAGCACCCCGGAAGGGGAGUGAAAUAGAACCUGAAACCGUGUGCUUACAAGUAGUCAGAGCCCGUUAAUGGGUGAUGGCGUGCCUUUUGUAGAAUGAACCGGCGAGUUACGAUUUGAUGCAAGGUUAAGCAGUAAAUGUGGAGCCGUAGCGAAAGCGAGUCUGAAUAGGGCGUUUAGUAUUUGGUCGUAGACCCGAAACCAGGUGAUCUACCCUUGGUCAGGUUGAAGUUCAGGUAACACUGAAUGGAGGACCGAACCGACUUACGUUGAAAAGUGAGCGGAUGAACUGAGGGUAGCGGAGAAAUUCCAAUCGAACCUGGAGAUAGCUGGUUCUCUCCGAAAUAGCUUUAGGGCUAGCCUCAAGUGAUGAUUAUUGGAGGUAGAGCACUGUUUGGACGAGGGGCCCCUCUCGGGUUACCGAAUUCAGACAAACUCCGAAUGCCAAUUAAUUUAACUUGGGAGUCAGAACAUGGGUGAUAAGGUCCGUGUUCGAAAGGGAAACAGCCCAGACCACCAGCUAAGGUCCCAAAAUAUAUGUUAAGUGGAAAAGGAUGUGGCGUUGCCCAGACAACUAGGAUGUUGGCUUAGAAGCAGCCAUCAUUUAAAGAGUGCGUAAUAGCUCACUAGUCGAGUGACACUGCGCCGAAAAUGUACCGGGGCUAAACAUAUUACCGAAGCUGUGGAUUGUCCUUUGGACAAUGGUAGGAGAGCGUUCUAAGGGCGUUGAAGCAUGAUCGUAAGGACAUGUGGAGCGCUUAGAAGUGAGAAUGCCGGUGUGAGUAGCGAAAGACGGGUGAGAAUCCCGUCCACCGAUUGACUAAGGUUUCCAGAGGAAGGCUCGUCCGCUCUGGGUUAGUCGGGUCCUAAGCUGAGGCCGACAGGCGUAGGCGAUGGAUAACAGGUUGAUAUUCCUGUACCACCUAUAAUCGUUUUAAUCGAUGGGGGGACGCAGUAGGAUAGGCGAAGCGUGCGAUUGGAUUGCACGUCUAAGCAGUAAGGCUGAGUAUUAGGCAAAUCCGGUACUCGUUAAGGCUGAGCUGUGAUGGGGAGAAGACAUUGAGUCUUCGAGUCGUUGAUUUCACACUGCCGAGAAAAGCCUCUAGAUAGAAAAUAGGUGCCCGUACCGCAAACCGACACAGGUAGUCAAGAUGAGAAUUCUAAGGUGAGCGAGCGAACUCUCGUUAAGGAACUCGGCAAAAUGACCCCGUAACUUCGGGAGAAGGGGUGCUCUUUAGGGUUAACGCCCAGAAGAGCCGCAGUGAAUAGGCCCAAGCGACUGUUUAUCAAAAACACAGGUCUCUGCUAAACCGUAAGGUGAUGUAUAGGGGCUGACGCCUGCCCGGUGCUGGAAGGUUAAGAGGAGUGGUUAGCUUCUGCGAAGCUACGAAUCGAAGCCCCAGUAAACGGCGGCCGUAACUAUAACGGUCCUAAGGUAGCGAAAUUCCUUGUCGGGUAAGUUCCGACCCGCACGAAAGGCGUAACGAUUUGGUCACUGUCUCAACGAGAGACUCGGUGAAAUCAUAGUACCUGUGAAGAUGCAGGUUACCCGCGACAGGACGGAAAGACCCCGUGGAGCUUUACUGUAGCCUGAUAUUGAAAUUCGGCACAGCUUGUACAGGAUAGGUAGGAGCCUUUGAAACGUGACGCUAGCUUACGUGGAGGCGCUGGUGGGAUACUACCCUAGCUGUGUUGGCUUUCUAACCCGCACCACUUAUCGUGGUGGGAGACAGUGUCAGGCGGGCAGUUUGACUGGGGCGGUCGCCUCCUAAAAGGUAACGGAGGCGCUCAAAGGUUCCCUCAGAAUGGUUGGAAAUCAUUCAUAGAGUGUAAAGGCAUAAGGGAGCUUGACUGCGAGACCUACAAGUCGAGCAGGGUCGAAAGACGGACUUAGUGAUCCGGUGGUUCCGCAUGGAAGGGCCAUCGCUCAACGGAUAAAAGCUACCCCGGGGAUAACAGGCUUAUCUCCCCCAAGAGUUCACAUCGACGGGGAGGUUUGGCACCUCGAUGUCGGCUCAUCGCAUCCUGGGGCUGUAGUCGGUCCCAAGGGUUGGGCUGUUCGCCCAUUAAAGCGGUACGCGAGCUGGGUUCAGAACGUCGUGAGACAGUUCGGUCCCUAUCCGUCGUGGGCGUAGGAAAUUUGAGAGGAGCUGUCCUUAGUACGAGAGGACCGGGAUGGACAUACCUCUGGUGUACCAGUUGUCGUGCCAACGGCAUAGCUGGGUAGCUAUGUGUGGACGGGAUAAGUGCUGAAAGCAUCUAAGCAUGAAGCCCCCCUCAAGAUGAGAUUUCCCAACUUCGGUUAUAAGAUCCCUCAAAGAUGAUGAGGUUAAUAGGUUCGAGGUGGAAGCAUGGUGACAUGUGGAGCUGACGAAUACUAAUCGAUCGAAGACUUAAUCAA